Mustela erminea (ermine) is the source of this 150-nucleotide long non-coding RNA. RefSeq lists it as uncharacterized. The record is from RefSeq and is a predicted model, not a curated record. The transcript is spliced from 2 exons. Lineage: Eukaryota; Metazoa; Chordata; Mammalia; Carnivora; Mustelidae.
CAAGUCCAUGAACCACCCAGGCAUCUCUGAUUUGGUUCUUCUUACGUCUUUGGUGCCUUCGGAGUGCUUUGCCAGAUGUCCCACGUGUCAGGAGACCUUUCCACUCCAGAUGGGUGAAAUACAAAUUCUCCCCAGCCUGUGUAUUCUGAA